Molecule: small RNA, 864 nt
Filed under: Pongo abelii (Sumatran orangutan)
Lineage: Eukaryota; Metazoa; Chordata; Mammalia; Primates; Hominidae
Description: processed transcript
Source: RNAcentral
AACGGGAGUAGCUGCCUGGGCGCCGAAGGUCGCGGCACUCCCACGCGGACCACGAAGUCCGCAACCCGGGGAUGGGCCCGCGGCUGCGAGGACAAAGCAACAGUAAUUCAGAUACCUGCGCAGAAUUUCGAAUAAAAUAUGUUGGUGCCAUUGAGAAACUGAAACUCUCUGAGGGAAAGGACCUUGAAGGGCCAUUAGACCUGAUAAAUUAUAUAGACGUUGCCCAGCAAGAUGGAAAGUUGCCUUUUGUUCCUCCGGAGGAAGAAUUUAUUAUGGGAGUUUCCAAGUAUGGCAUAAAAGUAUCAACAUCAGAUCAAUAUGAUGUUUUGCACAGGCAUGCUCUCUACUUAAUAAUCCGGAUGGUGUGUUACGAUGAUGGUCUGGGGGCGGGAAAAAGCUUACUGGCUCUGAAGACCACAGAUGCAAGCAAUGAAGAAUACAGCCUGUGGGUUUAUCAGUGCAACAGCCUGGAACAAGCACAAGCCAUUUGCAAGGUUUUAUCCACCGCUUUUGACUCUGUAUUAACAUCUGAGAAACCCUGAAUCCUGCAGUCAAGUAGAAACCAACUUCAUCUGAAAGUUCAGCUGUUUUCAAACUGCAAUGCUGAAGUGUUAUGCAAAUAAUGAAGCGAUCCCUUGCUCUAGAUUUUCUGAAGAAAAUGGAUUGUGUAAAAUGCUGAUCAUUUGUUUAUUAAAAUGUGUCCUAUUACACAGUGAGUUAACUCUCAAUGAAGUCAUCUACUUUCUGGGAUAAAAAAACUUCAUUUGUCUUUUUCAAGUUCUAAUAAGCUUAACCUAAGUGUCACAGAAGCCUAGGUGUCACAGAGGUCCACUCAGUGACACACACACACUGAAGGCCUGCCUG